RNAcentral lists this small RNA (27 nucleotides) under Bombyx mori (domestic silkworm). RNAcentral's name for it is "ovarian small RNA-26303". Lineage: Eukaryota; Metazoa; Arthropoda; Insecta; Lepidoptera; Bombycidae. The record is from RNAcentral.
UCAUUAGAGAUCUGGUGCGCGAUGUUG